This 2373-nucleotide ribosomal RNA is filed under the name Salmonella enterica subsp. enterica serovar Enteritidis. RNAcentral's name for it is "partial 23S ribosomal RNA". It matches the Rfam family "Bacterial large subunit ribosomal RNA", at positions 583 to 2925 of the family's 2925-position model. The record is from RNAcentral. Lineage: Bacteria; Pseudomonadati; Pseudomonadota; Gammaproteobacteria; Enterobacterales; Enterobacteriaceae.
CUUUGGGUGUGACUGCGUACCUUUUGUAUAAUGGGUCAGCGACUUAUAUUCUGUAGCAAGGUUAACCGAAUAGGGGAGCCGGAGGGAAACCGAGUCUUAACCGGGCGUUAAGUUGCAGGGUAUAGACCCGAAACCCGGUGAUCUAGCCAUGGGCAGGUUGAAGGUUGGGUAACACUAACUGGAGGACCGAACCGACUAAUGUUGAAAAAUUAGCGGAUGACCUGUGGCUGGGGGUGAAAGGCCAAUCAAACCGGGAGAUAGCUGGUUCUCCCCGAAAGCUAUUUAGGUAGCGCCUCGUGAAUUCAUCUCCGGGGGUAGAGCACUGUUUCGGCUAGGGGGCCAUCCCGGCUUACCAACCCGAUGCAAACUGCGAAUACCGGAGAAUGUUAUCACGGGAGACACACGGCGGGUGCUAACGUCCGUCGUGAAGAGGGAAACAACCCAGACCGCCAGCUAAGGUCCCAAAGUCAUGGUUAAGUGGGAAACGAUGUGGGAAGGCCCAGACAGCCAGGAUGUUGGCUUAGAAGCAGCCAUCAUUUAAAGAAAGCGUAAUAGCUCACUGGUCGAGUCGGCCUGCGCGGAAGAUGUAACGGGGCUAAACCAUGCACCGAAGCUGCGGCAGCGACACUGUGUGUUGUUGGGUAGGGGAGCGUUCUGUAAGCCUGUGAAGGUGUGUCGUGAGGCAUGCUGGAGGUAUCAGAAGUGCGAAUGCUGACAUAAGUAACGAUAAAGCGGGUGAAAAGCCCGCUCGCCGGAAGACCAAGGGUUCCUGUCCAACGUUAAUCGGGGCAGGGUGAGUCGACCCCUAAGGCGAGGCCGAAAGGCGUAGUCGAUGGGAAACGGGUUAAUAUUCCCGUACUUGGUGUUACUGCGAAGGGGGGACGGAGAAGGCUAUGUUGGCCGGGCGACGGUUGUCCCGGUUUAAGCGUGUAGGUGUGUGUUCCAGGUAAAUCCGGUUCACUUUAACACUGAGGCGUGACGACGAGGCACUACGGUGCUGAAGCAACAAAUGCCCUGCUUCCAGGAAAAGCCUCUAAGCAUCAGGUAACAUCAAAUCGUACCCCAAACCGACACAGGUGGUCAGGUAGAGAAUACCAAGGCGCUUGAGAGAACUCGGGUGAAGGAACUAGGCAAAAUGGUGCCGUAACUUCGGGAGAAGGCACGCUGACACGUAGGUGAAGUGAUUUACUCAUGGAGCUGAAGUCAGUCGAAGAUACCAGCUGGCUGCAACUGUUUAUUAAAAACACAGCACUGUGCAAACACGAAAGUGGACGUAUACGGUGUGACGCCUGCCCGGUGCCGGAAGGUUAAUUGAUGGGGUCAGCGCAAGCGAAGCUCCUGAUCGAAGCCCCGGUAAACGGCGGCCGUAACUAUAACGGUCCUAAGGUAGCGAAAUUCCUUGUCGGGUAAGUUCCGACCUGCACGAAUGGCGUAAUGAUGGCCAGGCUGUCUCCACCCGAGACUCAGUGAAAUUGAACUCGCUGUGAAGAUGCAGUGUACCCGCGGCAAGACGGAAAGACCCCGUGAACCUUUACUAUAGCUUGACACUGAACAUUGAGCCUUGAUGUGUAGGAUAGGUGGGAGGCUUUGAAGUGUGGACGCCAGUCUGCAUGGAGCCGACCUUGAAAUACCACCCUUUAAUGUUUGAUGUUCUAACGUGGACCCGUUACCCGGGUUGCGGACAGUGUCUGGUGGGUAGUUUGACUGGGGCGGUCUCCUCCUAAAGAGUAACGGAGGAGCACGAAGGUUGGCUAAUCCUGGUCGGACAUCAGGAGGUUAGUGCAAUGGCAUAAGCCAGCUUGACUGCGAGCGUGACGGCGCGAGCAGGUGCGAAAGCAGGUCAUAGUGAUCCGGUGGUUCUGAAUGGAAGGGCCAUCGCUCAACGGAUAAAAGGUACUCCGGGGAUAACAGGCUGAUACCGCCCAAGAGUUCAUAUCGACGGCGGUGUUUGGCACCUCGAUGUCGGCUCAUCACAUCCUGGGGCUGAAGUAGGUCCCAAGGGUAUGGCUGUUCGCCAUUUAAAGUGGUACGCGAGCUGGGUUUAGAACGUCGUGAGACAGUUCGGUCCCUAUCUGCCGUGGGCGCUGGAGAACUGAGGGGGGCUGCUCCUAGUACGAGAGGACCGGAGUGGACGCAUCACUGGUGUUCGGGUUGUCAUGCCAAUGGCACUGCCCGGUAGCUAAAUGCGGAAGAGAUAAGUGCUGAAAGCAUCUAAGCACGAAACUUGCCCCGAGAUGAGUUCUCCCUGAGACUUAGAGUCUCCUGAAGGAACGUUGAAGACGACGACGUUGAUAGGCCGGGUGUGUAAGCGCAGCGAUGCGUUGAGCUAACCGGUACUAAUGAACCGUGAGGCUUAACCUUACAACGCCGAAG